CACUCAACCCACUUCUUAACAGUUUUCACAUGCAAAACAGCACAGAAAACAGUGUCUGGUAUAGAAAGAAGAGGGAAGGAGCCAAUGUUGUGAUUUCUCUUUAUGAGAAUUGUCGAGAGGAAAAAAAAAUACUUGACUUCCUCCUAAGUCUUCUCGGAACCAGCAUGAAAUAUUAUCUACUUUCACUUGAGGGAAAGGAAAUGAAGUACAUUCUGCCCACUGAUAGCCACACAGUGACAAGACGGCGUUUGAAAAAACAAGGUGUAAAUGUUCAUGGAAGUCUUGAGAAAUUCAUCACAGAAUGGAGGGAAGAAGCUGAAUCUUGGAAGCUUUUCUCCCCACCCCCCACACCUUUGUGCGAAUUCUGUCCACUAUUUCAUUGUCCUAACAGGACAGAAUUCAUAACAUUUGUGACAUCCCUGUAUGAACUUAUUCAACACAGAUGAAUUCCACAAGUAGCUAGGAAGUGGCAGCUCCAUUGAUAAGCUUCCCCAGGCUGCAGUAAUUGAGCCAUAACUUUCCCAUUAACUUUGUUUGGAGCAGUGAUUAAUGAUAAAGGGUAGCGGCAAAUCCAAGUUAAUAUAGAUAGGGGACUGUUAUUUUCCUCAUCCUCCAAAAUUUGGCUAUCAUUGGGUAAACAUUUCCUUUUGUGGAAGCUUUCCUUCCCUUGCGCUGGUAUGCAGGCAAUGCUGUGUACCUCCACUGGAGGAUUUAGAGCCUAUCCGGGUCUGACCUGGGGCUCUCGCUCAGCAAGCAAAUGCUUCCUGGGCACUGUUAUCACCUCGAUUUCCCCAGCACUCACUUCCAACCACACAGCUUCUAAGCUUCUCUAGAACAAAACCGCGAAGAGCAUUAUAGGAAUUUACAUAAGGAUGUCUGGGAAAUGGCCCUCCGUGGCCCAAGAAGACCUUGGAGAAAAUACCUCCCAGGGACUACACUCGGGCUUCUGACUCCGGGAAGUCUGAAAACAGAGUUUUGUUCACGCAAAGAGAGAAAGCAGACACUAACCAAUGCAGAAUAAUAUUCAUUUCUAGCCAAAGUCUUAUACUUCAGUGAGAAAUAGGACUGUCAUAAAACAGGUUAUACUCACGCUGGCAUCAUCAGUGAAUUUUUUCCCCCUGUAGUCAGACCUACUUGGAGAGACAAAUCACAAUCAGAAUUUGCUGAGACUCAAAACAUGAAGAGUUACAUGAACCGAGUGUUAAAAUAUAUCCUCCUCAAGAGGGAGGGUCUGAGCUUAGCAAGGAUUUCUGCCUUCAAUGACACAGUUAUUUGGAAAACUCCCUGGAAGACUUGCUGAGGCAGAAAACUUGAAUUAUACUUAACAGAGCAAUUGUUUUUCUGGUUAGUAUAACACAUAGAACGUUGCCAAGACACAGUUUCAAAUAAAGGAUGAUCUCCGGGCAAAUGACAUGUUUCAAAAUGUUCAUGGUGGUCAGACAGAAAAAACAGAUUUCCAGAUAUAUCGAAUUCUACAAGGCUCUGACAGACAGAAGUGAGAUCUGCUAUUUUUUUCCCCUAACAGCAACAGAGCACCAAGAGAAAUGCUCUCAUUUCUAAUCUCAUGACUCCUCAUAGUGGAGAGAUAAUACCUUCCAACUGGAUUCCUUUGUCAGCCAGUGAAUGUUCCAGAAAGGCUACCUGUAAGCAUCAAAUAAAUGCACUAACAACAAUCACAGGCCUCAUGCCUUAUGGCAUCUCUCCUCACACCCAGCUCUACCUUGAAGGGAUUUGAUAGAUAUUCUCGAACAGGCGUUUCCAUUUGUCCAAAGAGUGCAAGCGAAACAGCAGAAGAUGUUUAGCCUGAAGGACACUUUCCCCAGAAGGUUAACUACCUGAAAAAAAAAAAAAAAAAAAAAAAGAGAGAGAGAGAGACUUAGAUAUCUACUUCAAGAUAAACAUUUGCAAUGCUUUUUCAGUCGAUAGCCUGCAUAAUUGCUUCACACGUCAAAAACAAGAAGCAACAAAAACUGACUCUCCUAGGAUGUUGUGUCGAACAAGCCAUUGCAUGCAGCCGAAUCCCAAGGUGACAUCAGGUACAAGAAGUGGCAGAAGUUGAACUGCGUUCACAGGUCCAUGAUCGCCACACGCAUAUUCACAUGUAUGGAAAAUACUCCUUCGUCUUUGCCAAAAAGCUUUUCUAAGAUGUUUUAUAGCACAUGGUUGCUUGGAGACACUGAGAUUUCGCAAUAAAUAGUUCUUCCUUGUCCAAAAUGUACAUAGACUUCACUAAACACUGAUGCUUGGAACCCGCAUCUCUAAGGAUAACGCUGCAAGGUCUGCCUCAAAUACAUUUUUAGCAAAAUCAAAAUCCUUAAUUAUUUUAAAAACAGGUAUAUGUUAAGAAUGUGCUUGCUAUUAUACCUCGCAAGCACCAAAAGAACAGCGAGAUUUUUCUGCCAUUGGUAUUCUGGGUGUUUGGAGGUCCGGGAAAAUUUGCUAUCAUAGACGGCAAUAAAUCACUCCCUAAGCACUUAGGUCUCAUUCUCUCUGUCAUUUACAGGGCUCAGCGAACAAGGAAUAUAGGACAAAAUUGCAUGUUCUUUCUAGUAAUCUGUCGCCCCUGAUAAUAACUUGGAAUUAUUUAGCCACUGUGUCACUGCACGAAACAAGCCCAGGAAGGCCUGCUUGGAUCCGACACGUCUGCUGUCUUAACAACCACAAACAAGCAUCAGGUAAACAUGGCAUGUCUCAUGAGAAAUCUAUGCGGGUCAGUCUGGGACCAGGACAGGUACUGGCCAUGCUUAUCACGGCUCAGACCAAAGAAAACAACCAGCACUGCUACCAAUGCCUGUUUCAGAAAACUUAGUGAGGUGCACUCGGAGGCACAGAAGUGAUGUAAUGCUGCACACAAACGAGGCUGGAUGCACUGUCCCUCUUUCCAGUUGUAUUGAGCUCACACCAAAUGCUAGAUGAAAAGCAGAUAAACUGUUUGCAACUCAUCCAAGUGGAGAUCAUCUGUCUUGGCACCCAGUGCAAUUUGCAAUCAGGGUGUCUCUCUGGCGUCUCGUCUCAUCUGCAUGUCUUGUCAGUUUUGCCCAUCCUUCCUUGGGAAUCCUUACUGGGGAUUGGGAAUAAAGAUCUUAUCAACUUAAAGCAUGGAUUCCCUCCUUGCCUUUCGUUUUCUCUCUGUUUUGCUUCUAGUCAAAUAUAAAUUCCAAAAACACCCAAAUCCUGAGUUUUCUCUGUUUCUCUCUAAAUCCCAUGGCUGCAAAUUCAAAACAAUGUACUAAAUAGUUACAUAAUUUGAAUCUGGGGCUCAUUCAGAAACCAAAUAGCUUAUCUCCAAAAGAGAAGCCACAUCUAUUUGCACGCAAACUUACUUGCUCAGCCAGGACUUCUGUCCAUGAAGAUAAUCCCUGGGUAACAAAAACACUUACAGGGACUGGCGUUGUGGUGCAACGGGUUAAGCAGCCAUCUGUGACCUGGCCCAGCCCUAGCCAGCUGCUGCAGCCAUUAUGGGAACGGACCAAGGAGUGGAAGAUCAUUCUUUCUGUGUCUGGACACCACCUCUCCCCCGCCCCAGGACACUGUAACUCUGCUUUCAAAUAAUGAAGUAAAUAUUUAAACACACACACACACACACACACUUUUUUUAAGUUAAAUUUUUCUUUUCUCACUUGAUGUUCUGAAAUCUCCAGGUUUUCUCUUUGACAAGCAGAAAAUAGCUUUCUAUUUCAUGUUCUUCUAGGUAUGGUUCUACUUAACUGAUUUUAAUUUGAGUCUCUCUUUUUCAGUAUUUGUAAGUUAAACACACUAUAUUUUCAUUUUAGAUAUUGGCUUUAAUUUUUAUUUUCCUAUCUACAUCAUAAACCUCAGAAAGAAGAAAGUCAUCCUGAAGACCAAACCAUGGCCAGGCUUGAGAGUCCAUGGAAGUUGCUUCUUUUAGGUUCACAAAAUAGAGUCCCUGGGGCUUAAAUCUAUUUUCCAACUGAAUUUGAAUUUUCAACGGUUCUAGAAGUGCAGCUGUGUCAUGCCAUUAUUACAUGCAACGGGCAUGGCCGCAUUAGACUCUCGGGGGCUAUGUGCAGUCUAGUGAGAGCACUCUUCCGAAUCAGGUGCACGAAGGUAAGGAUGUCUGCUCUUCUGUCCGUUCUCUGUGGGACCUUGUGGAAAUCACUGACUGUCUUGGAGCCUCAGCCUUCUCUAUGAAAUGGAGAAAACUGCAUUCUGCACGUCUCUAAGAGAAUCCACUGAAAACACCAUCUCCACACAAUGACAAUACAUGUCACUCAGUCAAAGAAACUCAUCCUUUGAGGGGUGCUUGAGUAGGGCAAGUUGAAAUGAAACAGGAUUCUUCCUUGCAGGCAUUCUUUUUUUUAAGAUUUUAUUUAUUUAUUUGAGAGGUAGCGUUGCAGAUAGUGAGAGGGAGAGACAGAGAGAAAGGUCUUCCAUCCGCUGGUUCACUCCCCAAAUGAUCGCAAUGGCUGGAGCUGGGCCAAUCUGAAGCCAGGAGCCAGGAGCUUCUUCUGGGUCUCCCAUGCAGGUGCAGAGGCCUGAGCACUUGGGCUGUCUUCUGCUUUCCCAGGCCAUAGCAGAGAGCUGGAUCGGAAGAGGAGCAGCCGGGACUAGAACCGGGGCCCAUAGGACAUGCUGGCGCUGCAGAUGGCGGGGUAACCUACUGUGCCACAGCCCCAGCCCUUGCAGACAUUCUUGAUACGUUAACACAUAGCAUGAGUCUCCGAUGGAGGUAUGGAUUACAUAGUAUUACCGAGAUUUAUUUGGAGACUUACAGAAUGUAUACUAAGAGUUUCCGUGCCUCAUAACAUUGCUGUCAUCAUUACCCAUCAUAAGGUACAUUAAGUACUUAGUCUGGUGUCUCUUGCAUAAUGUGGACUAACGUUUAUGGAGCACUUCCUGUGUGCCGUGUGUCUGUGUCAUCUCAUGGAAUCAUCGUAGGGAUCCUGAUGUUCAUCUCACAGAUGAGCCCACUGAGACUUAUGGAGGUUGGCCCACUGUCCAGCCAGGUGGCAGGAACGUGGCAACCCCGGACCCUGCCGAGUCUGCCGCACACGUCUGUAAAUGCCCAUUCUCCAGCCCUUCGUUUCUGCACUAGCCCUGGGCUGUUGUUGCUCUCAACAGAAGGUGUUAGGAGGCAGGCAUCAAGGUCAGAGGUCGCCUCCAGAAAGCCAUCUUCCCUUCAGCUUGUCCAGAGAUGUUGUUGGACAAUUCCAAGCUCCACAUCCAUUCAGUCAAGCUUCCCUUCAACAAAGACAUAGGAAGGCCUUACUGCCUACCAGGCAGUAUUUUGGGUAAUGAUGUUUUGGCAGUGAGUAAAGCAGACAACAGUCCCCUUUCUCAGAGAGCUCAUGCUCUUGUGUGAGAAGCCAAAGUCACUGAGGAAAACAAAAGGCAUGAUGAUGAGUGCUAGGCAGAAAAAUGAAGUAGGGGAAAGGAACAAGGAGGGCCUCUGUGGGGGGAAGGAGACAUUGGCAGGUGCAAUUCUGCAUAGGCACUGUAUAAGGAGACCUAGAUGUCAUGGGGCCAUUUGAGCAAAGACCUAGAGGGGACAUCACCUGGGGCAAAACCCUCCAGGCUAGAGGGUCAGUGAGUGCAAAGGUCCUAGUGUGUUCUACCAGGUUUCUCUCUUUCCCUCCCUUGGAUAUCAAGAUUACAUUUGGAGGUGUCUGGUAGGCCUAGAGUUAUUUCAGAAGAAUUUGCUAAGAUUCUAGGUGAUUAAUAAUUAGAGGUAAUUUAUGAGAGUAUUUGGCAAACUGUUAAACAAGCUGCAAAUAAGAGAGAUGAUUUUGGGGCUGGUCCUGUGGUGUAGUAGGCUAAGCCCCGCCUGCAGUGCUGGCAUUCAAUAUGGGUGCAAGUUCAUGUCACAGCUGCUCUGCUUCCAAUCCAGCUCUCUGCUAACAGCCUGGGAAAUCAGUGGAAGAUGGCCCAAGUGCUUGGGCCCCUGCACCCACAUGGGAGACCUGGAAGAACCUCCUGGCUUCUGGCUUCAGAUCUGCUCAGCUUCCAGCCGUGCAGCCAUUUGGGGAGUGAACCAGCAGAUGGAAGACCUUUCUCUCUCUCUCUGUA
This is a non-coding RNA of Oryctolagus cuniculus (rabbit), 6027 nucleotides long. NCBI's taxonomy places the organism in Eukaryota, Metazoa, Chordata, Mammalia, Lagomorpha, Leporidae. The record is from RefSeq and is a predicted model, not a curated record.